GCUGGGGAGGCCAGGCGACUGGGCCCGGUUGCCAAGGCGACGGCGGCGGCCGUCUAGCCCCUGCUGGCUCAGCUCCGCCUUCUUAGAUGCUUUACGCAACCAAUCACGAAUCGUGCUCCAUGGGAAACGUCGGCUCCCACGGAAAGCUGGAGACCAACAUCCCAUGGACAGAGGAGCCUGGCAGGCUACGGUCCACAGGAUCAAAAAGAAUUGGACAGGACUUGGCACACAGCACAACAGUGGUUUGCCAACUUUUUUUCUUCUUUAGAUCCUUCUUUGUUGUCGUUUAAAUGGAAGUAAGCACUUCUCUGGUGGUUCAGUGGUUAAGAUUCCCUGUUUCCAAUGUAGGAGGCAUGUGUUCGAUCCCUGGUUGGGGAACUAAGAUCCCACAUGCUGUGCAGCAUGGUAAAAAUUUUUUCAGUUAAAAUAUUAAAAAAAAAAAAAAACAAAUAGAAGUAUAGUUGAUUUAUAGUGUUGUUAGUUUCUGGUAUAGUCUUCCCUGGUGGCUCAGACAGUAAACGCUCUGCCUGCAAUGCAGGAGACCCAGGGUUUAAUCCCUGGGUUGCGAAGAUCCCCUGGAGAAGGAAAUGGGAACUCGCGCCAGUAUUCUUGCUUGGAGAAUUCUAUGGACAGAGGAGCCUGAUAGGCUGUAGUUCAUGGGGUCGCAAAGAGUCAGACACGACUGAGCACCUAACACUUCUUUUUGGUAUAUAGCAAAGUGAUUCUGUUACAUAUAUGUAUAUAUGUAUUUCUUUUUCAGAUUCUUUUCCGUUAUAAUUCAUUAUAAGACACUAUAUAUAGUUCCCUAUGCUAUAUAGUAGGACCUUGUUGUUUAUUUUAUAUAUAAUGGUGCAUAUAUAUUAAUCCCAAAAUUUCUAAUUUAUCCCUAUUUCCUCAUCCCCUCUUUGGUAACCAUAAAGUUUGUUUUCGAUGACUGUGGGUAGGUUUUGUAAAUAAGUCCACGUGUAUCAUUUUUGAGAGUCCACAUAUAAGUGAUAUGUGGUAUUUGUCUUUCUCUAACUUCCUUCACUUAGUUUGAUCUCUAGGUCCAUGCCUGUUGCUGCAAAUGGCUUUAUUUCAUUCUUUUAUAUGCUGAGUAAUAUUCCAUUGUAUAUAUGAACCGUAUCUUUAUCUGUUCAUCUGUCGAUGGACAUUCUGGUUGUUUUCGUGUCUUGGCUUUUGUAAAUAGUGCUGUAAUGAACAUUGGGGUACAUGAAUCUUUUCAAAUUAGUUUUCUCCAGAUAUUUGUGCAGG
Molecule: long non-coding RNA, 1254 nt
Filed under: Bos indicus x Bos taurus (hybrid cattle)
Lineage: Eukaryota; Metazoa; Chordata; Mammalia; Artiodactyla; Bovidae
Description: lncRNA (ENSBIXG00005007047.1)
Source: RNAcentral